This 254-nucleotide ribosomal RNA is filed under the name uncultured bacterium. RNAcentral's name for it is "partial 16S ribosomal RNA". It matches the Rfam family "Bacterial small subunit ribosomal RNA", at positions 524 to 776 of the family's 1533-position model. The record is from RNAcentral.
UACGUAGGUGGCAAGCGUUGUCCGGAUUUAUUGGGCGUAAAGAGCUCGUAGGUGGUUCGGUAAGUCGGAUGUGAAAUCUCCAGGCUCAACCUGGAGGGGUCAUUCGAUACUGCCGUGACUAGAGGUCGGUAGGGGAGUGUGGAAUUCCUGGUGGAGCGGUGAAAUGCGCAGAUAUCAGGAGGAACACCCGUAGCGAAGGCGGCAUUCUGGGCCGAUACUGACACUGAGGAGCGAAAGCGUGGGGAGCGAACAGG